Phocoena sinus (vaquita) is the source of this 1745-nucleotide long non-coding RNA. The record is from Ensembl. NCBI's taxonomy places the organism in Eukaryota, Metazoa, Chordata, Mammalia, Artiodactyla, Phocoenidae.
GACUUCCGGCGUAUCCUCCCGACCUCCGGCGGCGUCCGACUUCGCUCCCUGCUGUGCUCUCCUGGUCGUGCUUUCUCUGCCCCCGGCCUGCCCUGUUUUCUCGCUCACUGAAGCCGCAGCCCCAGAACUGAUCUCCAGUGAGAAGAUAAAUCCUCCUAGAAAACAACGUGUCAGUCUGCUUAGUUAAGACAGGGCUUCUGAGUUCUGAAGUCUUGCCCAUGUGUAGCUAGAACAGAGCCAAGACUAUGCACUAUCUCUGAAGGCUAAGGACACAAUUUCAUCCCAAGAGAGGGAAGAAUAUUAUUCCGAAGAGCCUAUUACUGUUUCUGUCUGUUCCUUGUUAAGUGUGGCAGGACAGUAUUAACAGGUUGUCUCCUCCAGCCACUAUCCUCUUCUCUCGAUGUUUUUGUGCAUCACUCCACCCCAGAUGAGCAGCUAGGCAUUCUGUGCUUAUUGCUUUAAGGGAAGAUGUGACGGCAAAGAAAGCGUCCUUCCUGGCUUUGGUGUUGCAAAAGGCUUGGCUUUACAGGAACAAAAAAGACUCCUGGCAGAGCAAGAGAUUUGGAUAAAACAUGUUUUGUAAGAGCCUGGCUUUCUACUCGCAGAAAAAACUAAAACAAACCCAUCUCCUGUGCUGGGGACCAAGGAGGCUGUGAGUGGUACAGGCAAGAGAGAAGGAGGGGGGCAGUGGGGGCCAGUCUCCACUGUCCCCGAGAUAGGGAGUCUGAACCAAGCUCCCCAGUCCCAUCCUUGGGACACUGCAGACCUCCAUAUUUGGGUUUGUGAGAUCCGAGAGCAGGAGGAAGGUGUGCCCAGAGACCUGAGCACCGCCCAGGAAGGCAGUGGGCCCAGAGAGAGAAUAUGGACUCAUGGGACGCCUGGUGUGAGUAGGUAGGUGGCAACUAGACGGACUCUCAAAGACCUUCUGUGCCCUAAUGUGGAAUGUGAGCAAAGCGGUGUCCCUGUAUAUCCAGGUGUGCUGUGGAAGAAGAAAGACACGUCCACACUUCAAGGGAGCUUGCAGAAGGGAACUCUGAGCCUAACAGAGGCUGGGGAAACUGAUGACUGCAUUAAGAUGCUGUGUUUCUCACUGGAUGCCCAUGUAGACAGAUGGCAUUGGAAACCAGAGGCUCCCAACCUAAACACUCAUCACCAAACUAGACAUUCUCAAAUUUAGAUUCAGCUGUGGGGUUGGUGGGAGAUACCAGGAAUUGGCAGAGAUUAUGGUAUCACCAACCGUUUGGAAGAGGCAAUUCAAAACUGAACUUAAUUAAGCAUGAUCCAGUUCCUUUGGCAGAAUGAUUUGUGGGAAUUAAAAGAACUAACAUUGCUGAAUAUCUGCUGUGUGCCUGAUGCUUUCACAUGCCUUGUAAGCAUCGUCUGCGUCCUAGCGUCCAUGUCAACCAUUGUAGAUCAACACUGAUGGCUGGUGGUGACAGUCUGAAGUUCAAAAAGGCUUUUAACAGGCUCUGAAUUGUGGCUCCAUCAUUGAGAUGACAAGUGACAAUGUGAAAUGAAGGAUUUCUAUGCUGUUGAUAGGAAAGUCAUUCGAGUGCCCUGGAUAUCAGACCAGUGUGAAGCAGAGAAAUGAGCUUGAAUUUUGCCCACAGAAAGGAAUAUCUCACCUUGCUAAGAAGAAAGGUUUUGGAGAGGGUUAUGGCUUUCCUCAAAUCGCAACAAUGGAUCUAUUUAAGUCCUGGAACUCUGCUGGUUGCCCCAGAAAUCUGUACUACAAAGCAUCAUCC